CACGGCUUGCAAUUAGCCGUGUUUUUAUUUAUUCGACUAUCUGUUUCUUAUUGCGCCGCGCGCCACCGGAAAGAAAAUCGGAUAUGAGAGGAGGGAGGGGGGAGGGGAAGGCUCUCCUCUUUCAUUUUUCAAAGGAACGCGAGAACCUGCACGCUCGAGAAGUUUUUUUUUCUUUUUCUUUUUUUUUAUUUCAUUCUUCUCUCUAUCUCAGAUUCUUCGAUUGCUUUGUCUACGAUACGGGGAUAAAGAUUCGCUCGGUAGCAUAACGUCGAUUAAUCGAAAAUAAAAUAUUGGGACAAUUGCUUCUUUCGAGAUUUAAUACAGAAAAGAAACUCGUGAUAAAAUAUUCUAUAGAUCAGUCUGUAGAGUUCGAAUAAGAAAUUGCGUUAUAUAAAUUGCAUUGGAAGAAUGGUCGGGUUUCAAUAAUAAACAUUUAAGGAUUGAUUUCAAGGGAUCUUCUGUCAAAAAAGGAAUCGUUCUACGUAUAAAUUGUUACGUUUUAACUGAAUACGAAAAUCAGAAUUUAGGUGAAUUUCCUUUAUAAGAUAAUAGGAAUAAAAAAUUUAUCGAUUUAUCAUUUGUGGAUGAAAAUAAUAUAAAUAAUGGAACGGAUUCGAGGCGAUUUCCGCCCGAUCGAAGAGAAUGAGAAUUUUAUGCAUAACGGUGCGCCUACCUUCGUUGGAUCCUCGAUGAAACUGCCAAUGGUUAUCACGUGUAGAAUGAUCUCACGUGUGUUCUCCAAUUCCUCGAGAGCGCUGUAGAGGCCCUCGCUGACGAAAUAAGGCUCGGGGCACGUGAGUCUGCAAGAGAUUAGCAAAUUAGAUAAUGAACAGGAAUGCAUGGGUCGAUGAUGAAACUAUAGCUAAACUCUUCUCUCUAGAAGCCGGAAUGUACGUAAGUACGUACUUUGGGAUUCAAAGUUUGAAUUAACUUAACUAAGCUGGCGUUGUGCAAUGUGAUCGUUAAUCAUCCCGAUCAGUUUAACACUUGUGAGUUUUUAAUAGUAUUUUUAUUUGUAAAAAUUUGUAAAAGAAAAAGUUAUUCCGUCGUGGUGAAGAAUUCUGUGGACAGAAAAAAGGAAUCAAGCCUUCUAUGCAAAGCAUCCCGAGAGAAAGAAAAAAGGAUUUACGCUUUCGUCGAAAGCAGUGGAAAGCACGAUUAGAAAUUGAACGUGUUGGCAAGAUGGGAACAAUUAGCAAGCGACGAAAGGGGAUCCAAGAUGGACGCGGUUCCGGAGGUGCAUAGUCGUCGAGUGCAUUUUCGAGUGGGUUUCCUGGAAUUAGUCCUCUCCGUCUUAGGUGUGGGACACGGACGUUUCUCCUACGGGCAUACAAGGGCCUGGGCUGCCUACGUGAAACGUAGACGCCAUGAGACAAGGGGUCUACGAAGAGAGGAGCGAGUCGUGCUCAAGGGUGGCUCGGGCUACGAGAUCCGUGGACGAGGACCCUUCACCAAAGGAGAAUUGCUGCUGUUGCUGCCGCCUGGGGUCCUGUCGUCUGUCGUCUGUCGUCCGGCAUCGACCGAACCCAUGCCGGUAACCCGUUUAUGACCGAUUCAACGUGCUUCUUAUUGUUGCGCGGGUUCACCAUCCAAGAAUAUUUAAACAGGAUGAGCUACGACUGUGUGUGUGCUCUGUUUCAAGAUUUUAAGAUUUCUGCCGAAUUAUUUUGUUUGGUCCUGAUAACAUUUGUUGUUCUUGUUAAGAUUCAUUCAACCAUCUUAACUUGUUUCUAAUCUUUUCAUUAUUUGUUACAUCUUUCGCAAUCCAAUUCUUAUUUAAUUCUCACGAGCAAACGAAAAAGAUAUUAUCGAUCGAAUCUCGUUCCAACUGAAUAAACUUCCAUCGACGAAACAAGUCGCAUCGAAAUUCAACCGAAUCGAUCCUCGACGCCAUCAAGGAUUCAAGGGACAUCUUCGGCCGAUCGACAUAUAGGCACGAUCGCCGUGUUCCGUCGUGACACGGAUUCGAAAUUACGUCGUCCAAGUGAAUUUGCAAAGUUUUUACAAAUCCACGAAAUAACGGGAUCGACAGAAUCGAUCGAUAGGAAUGUUUUACGAAUCAAAUCGUUCAUUAUCCUCCUUCCUUUCAAUCGAGAUCGAAUUCAACACCUUUGAUCCUCCCUAAAAUAAUCCAAGAUCUCCAUUAUUCGGCAUAUUUAUGCUCGCAAUUUUAUCAUUUCUAUCGAAAGAUCGAACGAUGUCGAGAAUUUUCAAAAUACAUUGUUUAUAAUAAAUUAUGAAAUUAUCCUAAAAAAUAAUACUACAAUAUAUAUAUAUAUAUAAACAAAAUCAAUACGUAAUAAUCACUUUCUCCGUCCGAAAUAUCCUCACAAUAGCACAUCGUCGGGCAAAUUUCCGCCAACCUCUGAAAAUACCUUUAAACUCGAGUACUCCCUCGAAACAGUGGUGGGAAGAAAAUCGAGCUGGCCGGUUGUUGUACAAGUUGCCAAGUUGCAGUCGGUGGCUAAGUAAAACAUCAGUUCUAACAAGUAAAGAGGGAGGGAGGGGAGGCCGAUGUCGGGGAUAUAAGCGGGGCCCUUCGCGCUGUCGCUUCCAUUGCAUCGGUGAACAUCGUGAAAGCUGUCAUUGUGCCGUCUCAUCCCGGGCUGGGAUAAAUAUGCGGGCUCGUGUGUAAGGCGGCGGCGUGCGCAUGCGGAUGCACAUGCCCCGGCCAGCUUCUUGGACCGGCGAAUGCACAGCGUCCGAUUUUUUGCCCGAGAAAUACGGUCCCUGCAGUCAGUCACGGCCGUGUAUAUAUCCACGCUCACAGCUGUCCCGCCCGUCCUUUUCAUCCCGCUCAAACAAUAACAACCAUUAUCUGUUUGCUUAUACAACCCCUGGACCAACGUCUCGAAUUAAAUUCUCCCUCCCUCGCUGCGCGGAACGCAGAAGAGGAUCGAAAAGUGGAGAUUUAAGAUUUCCAGAGUUGAAUACGUUGAGUUACCGCACUGUUUGCAGAUAUUUCUUUCUUCAUAAUUGUAAUUGGAAGAUUCGUUGUAAUUUGUGCAGAUUUUGAAGAAUAAAAUAAUAAUAAUUCCUUUUUUCUCCGAUAUCCUCGUCGUAAUGUUAAUCACUUUCCUCUGUUAGAAUCAAUUUUAAUCUGUGGUCAAGUGCAAUUUUUUCUUCCUAGGUUUAGGAGGAAUGUUAAAUAUUAUUGUGUGGGAUAAGAAAUUUCGUAAAGUAUAUUUUAGCAAAGAAUUUGAAUAAAAGUCUCAAUAAAUGUUGAAAGUUUACGAUUUGUGUAAACGGUUUUCAUUUGAAAGGUGAGGAGCUUGGGAAAUGAGAAUCACUGGCGAAACGAGCAACGACCCAUUGGCGAACGCGACGAAAACAUCGGGUUUCCAGCGAGUGGAUUAAUAACCGGAUGGCGCUAGUUCGUUCGAAAUAUUGCCAGAACACCCUUCCCCUGCCCUUCGACCCCCUACGACUCAUUUUUUUAUCACAUCGUGGAUCGUUUGUCUUAAUAAACAUCGUCUCAUUGCGCGUAUCGCUGGCAAAACGCAGGGCCUGCGAAUACGCGAAUCGUUCCACGAAGAAAUCGAAAAUGGGGUUGCCUCGCAAUUUCACGUGUUGUAAUUAUUAUUAAUGGCUUAAAUAUGAAACGUCUCGAAAUCUUACAAAUCUUCUUCUUUCGCUUCGGUAAAAAAUGGACGAUCGUUAUUAAAACUAUUAAAAUUAGCUUAUUAAAAUUAAAAUUAAUUUAUGUUAAAUUCGUAUUUGUUAAAUUUGUCGGGAAAUGGAUUAUUCUUUGAAUGAUCCGAACUUGAAAUUCCUACAAAAUUUCAAUUAAAUUAAUAAUAAUAAGAAAAUGUUAAAUAUUUAAUUAAGGGUAAUAAAGAAUAAAGAAUAAAGUGUCAUUGUUUCUCAUCCAAGGCUCGAAUUCAACGUGACAUCUCUCAAUUUACUGUACAUGUGUCGUCGCAACAGCUUUUAUCCCAAUUUACGUUAUUCCAUUUCAAAAAAAUGGCAAUUGCUACGGGCCCAACAACGACCGCCACUUUAAGCAGACGACUAAUUAUUGCAAGCCUCUUAACCACUCCAGGUCAUCGAUCUUCCCAUUUCUCCUCGAGCCGUUAUUCUACCGAUUAACCAUUUAAACCACCAGUAUCCUUUUUUUUCUUUACAAAUCCUUGAAAUAAAAAUGAUGUAAAUUAAUAAUUCACAAUUUUUUUUCACAAACAGAUAAUAAAAAAAUUAACUUACCAAACUUCUUUUCGUUUACAUAUCAAUUCAAUUCAAGUUCAAUGGGAGUAUUUAAUUCUUUAAUUUUUUCACUUACCAACGGAAUAAUAAACUUACUACGAGUACUAAGUUUCAUUACAUAUCCUCCUUUUUCACCGGAUCUACAAUUUUUCAUCAAAAAUGCCCUAAAUACCCAAGCAAUAAUCCCCUAUAAUUUCCGGGGCCAACCGUACGUCUUCUAACUGUUGAUUACAACGUUCGUUACAACGAGCUUUCUUGCCACCACUCGCGAUCUCGAUCGCUUAAUGGCAGUUUACAGACACGGGUUGGCUUGGUGCGCGAAGAUUCAUGGUCGGUUUUCGAGCGGAUUCGAGCGUCGUUGCACAUGGCCCGGGCUGACGUAAUUUGUCCCGCGCGCAAAAAUUUCGAGUUACGAGUGCGCGAGACGAUGAAGGAACGGGUGAAGGGGUGGGGUGGAAGGAGGAGGAGGAGGAGAAGGAGGGACCCUACAUAACGAGUGCUCUCUAAUGAAUGCUGCUGCACCGUUUUUGUCCCGGGCAAGGUUCCUCGUUGCACGCUUACUGACCGCUUUCAUGGUUACUCGACCGAAUUCCCGAAAAAUUAUAUAUUUCGUGACAACGAAAAAAAAAAACCGGAUAUUCCCUACUUUACUUUAUUUAUAUACCAUUUAUUUCGAGCAUUUUAAAUCCCCAUUUGCAUCAUAUCGAUUUUCGAAAAUUGUUCGUAAUUUUUCUUUGGCAGAGUUGAACAUUGGCCGGGUUUUUAUCGAGAUCGAAGUGAUCCGCGGAGCGGAUUGCGAGACGAAAGCGGGAGGAAAAAUCUGUAACGAAUAAUGAUAAAAACAGCGGUUUCAUUGUAUUUCCACGACGCUCAAUCUUAUUGGAAUUCAAGGUGGUACGCGUCUCCGCGAUAAAUACGAAUGAGCGAUUCAUCGUUGAUGCCCGAGGGCACGCCGGCGAUAUAUCAUAUUUAUUAAUGGAACGCAACGUAAUACGCUUUGCCGAAACACUUUACGAGUUUUCGCCCGAGCUCAGCCUGAAAUUUAAAUUGAAAAUCCCGCGGAUCUGUCCAUAUCGUUAUUUCGAUCGAUAUCGAGCUUUUCUAUUUUUUCUUUUCUUUUUUUCAACUUCGAUUUCUCUGCAAACGAAUAUUAAACAUGAUAUUAAAUUAAGAGAAUUAAAUUGGAGAGAAAAAGAUUGUUCGAUUUAAUUUUCUAAAUGUUACGAUUCAUUGAAAGUGAAUCGCUGUGAUUAUGAAUUUUAAUUAUUAUUGCUAUAAAUAUAAGAUGAGAUAUAUAAACAGGAUACAAAAGGUUACGUGUAAAUGAUGUACAGGAUGAAAUAUGCUAUUUUAAUUUUAAAUAAUCCUGUUAAUUCUUUUGAAGCUGGUUGUCAAGCACCUCUUUACAAAAGAAUAACAAAAGGAUAUACGUUUCUAUUGUAAAUUAAUUCAUGAAAAUUAUGAAUGAAAUGCCAUCUACGUUUACGCAAGAUAAAUAAAAAAUUUGAAUUACGAUAAAUUGGAAUUAAUUUACCAGUAGCAAAUGCAUAUUAAAAAUACAAUACAAGAUGUUACACUUUUCUCCUCGUUUUAUAAUUAAAGAAAGAAACAAGAAAUUGUCCAAGAAAUUGGUAAAUUACAUACAAUAUUAGAUUCUAUAAAGCAUACGUUUAAAGAAUUUAUUCCAAGAUCCAAGGAUAUCCAAAGAAAAUAUAAAAAAUCCAAAGGUGCAAACUCGUUUGGCUGACUCGUACGGUUCGCAAUGAAAUCCGAAAAAAGCAUGGCGUGAUUCGAAAAAAAGGAAUACCCUUUUCCACGUCAUCGAGAAACAACCUGUUACGCGUAACCUCGCCCGCGAAUUUACAGAGGACAAUAAUCGAAGGGAUCGAUGGAAAAUGAGAGGGAAGGGCGGUGGAAGCGCAAAUGAUGUGUUUUAACACCGACGAUCCAUGACUCGUUAUUAAAUCCGAGGACAGUGUGUGUGUGUGUGUGUGUGUCGAGUGUGUACUCGUUCCUCGGACGAAAUACCGGUUCCUGGGAUUACCUCGGGCGAGAAUGUUUCUCGAUACCUUCGCUUCAGUCGAAAAUAUUUAACGGUAACGCCAAAGAACUUCCUCGACGUGGAAUCCUGCAUCGCGUGAAGAGACUUACGUAUUACGCGGAAAAACGAGGGAAGCGGAUUCACGAAUCAUUUCGAAGAUCGGAUAUUUGUAUUUUACGAACGAUCGAAUCUGUCAGAUUCUGUUUAAAUUAAGAUGAGAAUGAUUCUUGAAACAUGAUUGUGUAUAGAUAAUAAAAAUUUCUUUUUUCGAUAUAUAAAUAUAUUAUUAAGGACUAUUUAUACUUCUUACGUAUUAUUAUAAUAUGAUUAUAUUGGAGCUUAAUUUUUUAUAAAAAAAGAAGCUAAUUUUCCCUUGAAUUUAAUAUCACAUUACGUAAUAAAUUUCCCCUAAGUUCCAAUAAAUUUUAUUAUAUUCCGUUGAC
Apis cerana (Asiatic honeybee) is the source of this 6687-nucleotide long non-coding RNA. RefSeq lists it as uncharacterized. Lineage: Eukaryota; Metazoa; Arthropoda; Insecta; Hymenoptera; Apidae. The record is from RefSeq and is a predicted model, not a curated record.